This 620-nucleotide ribosomal RNA is filed under the name uncultured bacterium. Its description in RNAcentral is "bacterial SSU rRNA". The stretch from base 1 to 523 matches the Rfam family "Bacterial small subunit ribosomal RNA", at positions 338 to 873 of the family's 1533-position model. The record is from RNAcentral.
CCUACGGGAGGCAGCAGUGGGGAAUAUUGCACAAUGGGCGAAAGCCUGAUGCAGCAACGCCGCGUGAGGGACGACGGCCUUCGGGUUGUAAACCUCUUUUAGUAGGGAAGAAGCGAAAGUGACGGUACCUGCAGAAAAAGCACCGGCUAACUACGUGCCAGCAGCCGCGGUAAUACGUAGGGUGCAAGCGUUGUCCGGAAUUAUUGGGCGUAAAGAGCUCGUAGGCGGUUUGUCGCGUCUGCUGUGAAAACCCCGNGGCUCAACCUCGGACCUGCAGUGGGUACGGGCAGACUAGAGUGCGGUAGGGGAGAUUGGAAUUCCUGGUGUAGCGGUGGAAUGCGCAGAUAUCAGGAGGAACACCGAUGGCGAAGGCAGAUCUCUGGGCCGUAACUGACGCUGAGGAGCGAAAGCAUGGGGAGCGAACAGGAUUAGAUACCCUGGUAGUCCAUGCCGUAAACGUUGGGAACUAGAUGUAGGGACCAUUCCACGGUUUCUGUGUCGCNGCUACGACAUAGUUCCCGUCCGUCGGGAGGUACGGCCGCGAAGACGUAAACGUUAAACGUAGUAAGUUAGUACGGUUCGUUGUAGACGUUCGCCGACGGCGACGACGAGGGAGGAGG